Molecule: non-coding RNA, 58 nt
Organism: Roseovarius mucosus DSM 17069
Lineage: Bacteria; Pseudomonadati; Pseudomonadota; Alphaproteobacteria; Rhodobacterales; Roseobacteraceae
Source: Rfam
CAUGGACCCGGGUGCAAGGCCCGGGUGGCUCUUCCGGCCGCCUAUCCGCCGGAUCAUU